CGGGGGGUGCGAGCGUUGUCCGGAAUCACUGGGCGUAAAGGGCGCGUAGGUGGUCUUGUAAGUUUGUGGUGAAAGCCCGGGGCUCAACCCCGGGUCUGCCGCGAAUACUGCGAGACUUGAGUACUGUAGAGGCUGGUAGAAUGCCGGGUGUAGCGGUGGAAUGCGUAGAGAUCCGGCAGAAGACCGGUGGCGAAGGCGGCCAGCUGGGCAGUGACUGACACUGAGGCGCGACAGCGUGGGGGAGCAAACAGGAUUAGAUACCCUGGUAGUCCACGCCGUAAACGAUGGGUACUAGGUGCUUGGGGGAGCGACCCUUGAGUGCCGCGCUAACGCAGGAAGUACCCCGCCUGGGGAGUACGGCCGCGAAGGCUG
Molecule: ribosomal RNA, 372 nt
Filed under: uncultured organism
Description: bacterial SSU rRNA
Rfam family: Bacterial small subunit ribosomal RNA
Source: RNAcentral